CUAAGGAUAAAUUCGGAACCGGGCGCCUUAGGCGCUCCGGGGUUGACGUUUUGCGUUCAGUUUUGAAGGUUCAUCUUCAGGCGGCAACGCCUUUUUUUGUGACUUUCAGACUUGUUCUUUGAAAACUGGAUAAAACGACAUUGAAACAAAUGAAACAUGGAUUCAAAGUACGCGUGGCACUUGAUGCCACAACUUUUUAAUUAACCAUU
Molecule: unclassified non-coding RNA, 209 nt
Filed under: uncultured bacterium
Lineage: Bacteria
Description: 16S-23S ribosomal RNA intergenic spacer
Source: RNAcentral